GACGACGCAACGCCGCGUGGAGGACGAAGAUCUUCGGGUCGUAAACUCCUGUCGAGCGGGAAGAAACCCGCGGGGGUGAAUAAUCCCUGCGGCUGACGGUACCGCUAAAGGAAGCCCCGGCUAACUCCGUGCCAGCAGCCGCGGUAAUACGGGGGGGGCAAGCGUUGUUCGGAAUUACUGGGCGUAAAGGGCUCGUAGGCGGCCAACUAAGUCGGAUGUGAAAUCCCCAGGCUCAACCUGGGAACUGCAUCCGAUACUGGAUGGCUUGAAUCCGGGAGAGGGAUGCAGAAUUCCAGGUGUAGCGGUGAAAUGCGUAGAUAUCUGGAGGAAUACCGGUGGCGAAGGCGGCAUCCUGGACCGGCAUUGACGCUGAGGAGCGAAAGCCAGGGGAGCAAACGGGAUUAGAUACCCCGGUAGUCCUGGCCCUAAACGAUGAAUGCUUGGUGUGACGGGUAUCGAUCCCUGUCGUGCCGAAGCUAACGCAUUAAGCAUUCCGCCUGGGGAGUACGGUCGCAAGGCUG
Molecule: ribosomal RNA, 521 nt
Filed under: uncultured Acidobacteriota bacterium
Lineage: Bacteria; Pseudomonadati; Acidobacteriota
Description: bacterial SSU rRNA
Rfam family: Bacterial small subunit ribosomal RNA
Source: RNAcentral